AACACCUUGGCUAAGUCUUGCCGCAAGGGGAGCUAGGCUGCAGUGUCGUGAUUUUUCAUCCGUGAGUGAGAAAGGUAUCUCAUUAUUUAUUGGCAUAUCAAUAUCUCUCCUCAAGUCAAAUUUUUUGUUUCUAAUUCUCGUUGGAAUCAACUUUUUGUUUGUUAGCUGUCUCGAAAGUUUAUCGAUACUGCUUCACAGCGGUCUUUGGUGGUGCUGGAUUCCUGCUCGGUGGUGUGACAACAAGCCCCGUCUCUAAGGGGCUCCGGGAAUAUGAAGAGCGCUUCGUUAAAGGUCUCCAACGUCUGGAAAAAAUGGAGGCCAGGAGGGGCAAGUGGAUUUCCUCUCUUAAAGAGAAAACCAAGUGACGGUAAUUGGUUGCGUCUGUUUGUUUCUGUUUUGUCUAUGUUUGCAGCCGUUGAUGAACACAUUAUCUGCCAAUCACUGUAAUAACUACUUCAUGGUUGUGUCUUAUAAAAUAUUUCUGUUAUAUGUGGCGCUUAGAUUGUGGCUAGAGGAGAAUUGUUUUGUAGAAAAUGAAAUUUCCACCCUUAAGAUUAGGUUUUGUGC
Brassica rapa (field mustard) is the source of this 567-nucleotide long non-coding RNA. RefSeq lists it as uncharacterized. NCBI's taxonomy places the organism in Eukaryota, Viridiplantae, Streptophyta, Magnoliopsida, Brassicales, Brassicaceae. The record is from RefSeq and is a predicted model, not a curated record.